Molecule: long non-coding RNA, 551 nt
Organism: Prunus avium (sweet cherry)
Lineage: Eukaryota; Viridiplantae; Streptophyta; Magnoliopsida; Rosales; Rosaceae
Source: RefSeq, a predicted model, not a curated record
CCUUUCCUGUCCAAAAAGGGCACCUGAUCUUACAAAUCACAAAACCUUAAACGAAACUGAGCAGAUCUGAGAAAAUGAAAAGAUGAGACACAGAGAGGGAAGAAGAUCAGGAAACCCUAAACCCUCAGAACGAAGCCUCAGAUCUAUGCCAAAGAAGAAACGCUCCCCGGGCCGCACAAUGGCAUUGGCUCUGUGAUCGGAGCCUUCGUUGGAGAUCAGAGACAUGAGCAUGAAGAAAGGCGACGAGGCAAGAAAAGCUCCUCCAAUCCGAUUCUUGUUUUGCGAGGUUUAACACCUCGAUGGCCCCCAUGGUUCAAGAACUUACACUUGAAAUCGUGCAGUAAAUAACACCGACACCAGAGAUCUAAUGGGGCAAGUUACACUCCAUGGCAGCUUGCUCAAGAUGUGAUGUGGAUUGAUAGAGGCACUGAACGCGGGUCUUCCAUAUCUUUUAAGGAUAUCUGAAACCACAAGCUAGCAGGACUUCGCCUCAAACUCCCUUUUGUUUUUUUGAUUAAUUUGAUCUCAUUUCAAUCAAAAAAAGUCUGUAA